Molecule: transfer RNA, 72 nt
Filed under: Mesocricetus auratus (golden hamster)
Lineage: Eukaryota; Metazoa; Chordata; Mammalia; Rodentia; Cricetidae
Rfam family: tRNA
About the family: Transfer RNA (tRNA) molecules are approximately 80 nucleotides in length. Their secondary structure includes four short double-helical elements and three loops (D, anti-codon, and T loops). Further hydrogen bonds mediate the characteristic L-shaped molecular structure. tRNAs have two regions of fundamental functional importance: the anti-codon, which is responsible for specific mRNA codon recognition, and the 3' end, to which the tRNAs corresponding amino acid is attached (by aminoacyl-tRNA synthetases). tRNAs cope with the degeneracy of the genetic code in two manners: having more than one tRNA (with a specific anti-codon) for a particular amino acid; and 'wobble' base-pairing, i.e. permitting non-standard base-pairing at the 3rd anti-codon position.
Source: Rfam by way of RNAcentral
GGGCAUGUAGCUCAGUUGGUAGAGUGCUUGCCUGGUGUGCACAAGGCCCUGGGAUCAAUCCCAGCAGCACCA